UACAUUCUCUUCCCUUUACUUGAGCUCAACUGUGGUAGCUGUUUCCAAGAUCAUUCUCUGUUGUUCUUCUGCUUCUUGACUUUCCCAUUCAUUCUUGAAGCUGGACUGCAAUCUAAGGUAGAAUUCAUGAAUUUUAACUAUUGAUUGAUAUAUGAUUUUCUUACUUAUUUGUUUCGGAGCUUUAGUUUUUUUCUUAGUGGGAUUGUCCAAUUGAUAUCUGUAAAUUUUUAUGAUUCAUGUGAACCCUUUAUGCCUGGGAACGCAAUUUAUUGUGGAUGUUACUCUCUAUUUUAGGGUUAGUUGUUUAAGUAAAAGUGGCUUUUGAUAGUGGGUCGAUGAAUAUGAAAUUGGUGGGGUGAAAUGAAAACAAGAUUUAAUCUGGUUAUGCAUUUCGAAUACUAAAAAAUAAAGUACCUAGAGUGGUAAUAGUUAGUGAAAUAAUAAGAGUUAGACAAAUGGUUGAAGUAAUUCCAUUUCAAACAGUCCAAUAUUGGAUGUCUCUGUAAUACUUUGAACCAUUUAUUAACAUUGCAGUGAAAAUGAUAAAAACGUUUACUCCUUUGCAAUUAAGUAAUUGGAGCCUGGAAGGAGCUAUGGAGCAGGAGUUAGGUGGAAUGUAUAUCAAUACCAAGGAAAUGCUGAUUAAGUUUGAGUUCUUUGACAUGUGGGUUUCCCUUAAAAAAAUAAGAGUUGUCAGAACCUUAUGCUGAGAGAAAUGCGAGUCCGGAACCUAAAUGUUGCUAUUUUUGAUUCAAGAGGACAAAAUAGGUGGAAAAAAGGGAUAAGCAUAAUUUUAUAUAUAGCGCAUGUUUUUACAUGCGCUAUACCUUAAUGGCCAGUUAUCCCGUUAAGGUAUAGCGCAUGUAAUACAUGUGUUAUACUCAAUAUUUGAACAUCCAUAAUAAUUUACUGUAUAGCGCAUGUAAUAUAUGCGCUAUGUGUACAACGCAUAUAUUACAUGCGCUAUACUGAACAAUUGCCAUCCCUAAGCAUUGGAUAGUUGCUUACUUAAGGCCGAACAUUCAUUCUUGAAAAAAUCAUUCUUGAGUGAAUUUGAACCAAUUUACCUUUGUUCUUCGGCAUCCUUUAUACAUCACUUCAUCUUCUUCAAUAUAUACCUUUUCUCUUUGAAUCUUGCUACAAUAUCUAAUGAGCGAAAAUUUAGAGUUGCAUCAUAUUGGGGCGGUGAGGCUGUGGUGGGGAAUAACUCGGUACACUAUAGUUGUUCUCCAAAGAGUAUUGUUAAGGUGCCACUCAUGUCGGAGUACGACAAAUGCAUAUAUUUGAUUUGUAAAAGAAUGAGCGUGAGUAAACGUUUGGUUAAUCUUAAGGUAACUGAAAGAUAUCCGUAUUCGCUUACUCCGCAAGAUGCUGCUUGUUAUGCCGAGUUUAACAUCGAUGAUGAUGAAAAUCUACAAGAUUUUUUGAGGACUCCAGAUAAACAUUGGAAUGUUUUUGUGUUAAGAAUGCUGGAAAUGUACGUAAAGUCUGAAGACGUCAACAAUAUUGAUGUUUCGCAAAAUAUGGCUAGCAUUCAAUUAUCUGGUGGUUCAGAGAUGUUUUAUCCUAGCAGGUUCCAUAUGAAAGAAUCUGGCAAGAUCUAAACUUAUCUCCAUGGGUUAAUGAGGAGCGAGGACAUAAUUACUCCCCAAUGCAGCAGCGUGAAGGGUCGGCAAGUUUACAGAAUUCACAGGCCGAGUGAUAAAUUGCAAUUUUCCAUGUUUUAGUAUAACUAUUUCUUUUAUGUAUCAUAAUCGUACUAACUCUUAUAUCUUUCAUAGUGGGUUACCAGCCAGAUAUGAAUUUUACAAGUUAUGAACCAACCAAUAGUUGGAAUAUACCUAAUUUUGGAGGGGUGGAUCAUGCUGGUCCAUCCUCGAGUCAUCAACAACUCGAUAAUGUGUAUCAUGGGCUAUCUACAAAUUAUGAUGGUAUGUUUUAAGAGUUAAAGUUAAUAUAGUAUGUUGAGGUGGCUUCGAAAUAUUAAUUAUUUUAUUGGUUGUGCAGUGAAAAUGAGCAAUAUGACGGUCUUGUCCUAACUUAGUUGGGUGAUGACUAUAUAUUGAAUCAGGAUAUGGCAGAUGCACAGAGUGAGGAAGAUAACAAUAAUUAUGGCGACGACACUGAUGAGUCCAAAGAUGUCACACCCUUCCCUGAUGAGAGCGACGGUGAGGAACCACACUUUACAGAUGAGAGUGAGAAUGAGCAAUCAGAUUUGACGAUGGAGCAUGAUGCCAUAACUCAACAUGCUCCGUAUACGUAGACUCCACCUACUGUUAGAUCAACGAUGUACGAGUUGUGUGUGCCCUUUCAUUCAAGGAAAAUUCCCUACCUUGAUCACUUGCCAAGUAUGCCGAUGUUGAUGCUUUCACAAGGGGUCUUGAUGACAUUCGUACAACAAUGUGGAAUAAAAGUAGACAAAUAGAGCUUUGUAAGAAUAUAAUUUUCGGUGAUAAGGCUCGCCUCAGCAGGGCGGUGCGAAUUUACAGCAUAAAAAACUGCCGUGAGAUUGAGGUUGCUGAGUCAUCUAAGAAAAAAUAUAAGGUGGUUUGUCGUAGAUGGGAUCAAAGUUGUAAGUGGAUGCUGCGUGGGAGAAAGUUGAAAACUAAUAUGUGGAUGGUGGGGAAAUACAUUGGCAAGCAUACUUGUAAUAUGAACACAUUCAAUGGGAAUCAUUUUAAUUUGAACGUUGAUUUGAUUUCCUUUAUCUUGAUUCCACACAUUUAAUCGUCCAUAAGGUACGAGGUGAAAUAGUGUAUAACAUCAGUUGCACAUGUAUAUGGGUGUACCAUUACCAAAAGAAUGGCAUUUCUCGGGUGUAAGUGUGCGUUUGAGAUUGUUUAUGGAAACUGUGAUAAGUCAUUUACGGCUCUACCUUGGUGCAUGGCUGCUUUGCAACACAUGAACCCCGGGACAUUUGUUGAGUGGAAGCACGACCGGAGUCCUGACUUUCUACAAAACUUAUUCAGAUAUGUGUUCUGGGCAUUUAAACCAUCCAUUGAUGGUUUUGUUCAUUGCCGCCCGUUCAUCUCCAUAGACGGCAUACAUAUGUGCGGAAAGUAUGAUAUGAAGAUGUUGAUUGCCGUUGGAGUAGAUGCUAAUGGCCAAAUAUUUCUCAUUGCCUUUGCUAUUUGUGCCAAUGAAAGUCAAGAGACUUGGACAUGGUUUAUAAACCACUUGGAGGAGCAUGUUGUGAAACAACGUUCAGGUGUUUGUCUAAUAUCUGAUCGGUACGGUGGGAUUUUAAGUUCUGUACGUGCUUUGGAUGAAUGGAAGGAGCUAUACGGCUACUACCAUUACUGUGUUAGGCACUUGAAGGCCAACUUCCAGCGGGCUUAUCCGAACAAGAGCUUGCAUGAUCUAAUGUGGAUCGCUACAACAGAUCAUCAAGAGAGGAAAUUCUUGAUGCAAAUGGAAUUCAUUAGUCAGGAAGACGAAGAAGCUUAUCUUUGGUUGAGGAAUCUUGAGAUUGAGAAGCGGACUCUGCAUAAGGAUGAUGGCAGAAGAUAGAGAAUUUUGAUACUAAUGUCUCAGACUCUUUCAAUUGGUUGUUGAAGUCAGACCGUGGAUUGCCAGCCACUGCCAUUGUGCGGAUGCCAUUCAAGCAGCCGGCGGAGAGGUUCGUUGAUAGAUUCCGCAGUGCAUCCUCCUUGUUGGAAAUGGGUGUUCAAAUUAUGCCAAAACCGAUGCAACAGUUUGAGCGUUAUAGGAAGCGGUGACAGUGGCAUACAUAUUUGCAAUAUUGCAGUGACCGAAAUAUUUUUGAAGUUCGCAUUGGUUUGCAUCGAGGCCGCGGUAAUAAUACCCACACCAUCAAUGAGAGCACGCGAUUAUGUUCAUGUGGUAAAUAGUCGAUUUAUCACUUGCCAUGCUCUCAUGCCUUGAAGUGCUUUCUACAUACUGGGUUUGUAGCGAUGAGGUAUGUUGAUAGAGAAUAUAGUGUGGCUGCAUACGCAAACACCUAUAGCGGACACUUCCACCCAUUGGGUUCUGAGUCUUAUUGGUCGCGGGAUCCAUUUGUAAUGUUUUGUAACAAGGCGUUUUUGCGUUGCAGGGUAGUGCAAAACAGAACCCGGCGGUUACAGAACCAAAUGGAUGUUGGGGAUACCGUAUAUGCGCUUAAAUGUGGUCUCUGUUCCCAAAUAGGACACGAUCACUGUAAAUGUCCUACAAUCGGUUUGGGACGCGGUGGCAAUUCAGCUUCUUGUGGCAGUUCAUCCAACAUUGACAAUUAUCAGGCAUAUUAUUUAUUUUUUUAGUAGUAUAUUUAGUAGGAAUAAGUGUCUGUAAUGGUAUGUUUGCAAUAUCAAUAAAAUAAAGUUGUCCAAUAGUGUUAACUCUGAUUGACACUUAGCAUUUAAAAUUCAAUAUGAAUGUCUCGGGGUUAAAGUGUUGCAAAGCAGUCAUGUACCUUGGCCGAGCCGCAAAUGACUUAUCCUAGUUGCCAUAAACAAUCUCAAACGCACGUUUACGCCCGAGAAAUGCCUUUCUUUUGGUAAUGGUACACCCAUAUACUUGCGCAACUAAUGUUAACACUCAUUCACCUUGUACCUUAUGGACGAUUCAACGUGUGGAAUCAUGACAAGGGAAAUCAAAUCAACGUUCAAGUUAAAAUGAUUCUCAUUGAAUGUGUCCAUAUUACAAGUAUGCUUGCUAAUGUAUUUCCCCACCAUCCGCAUAUUAGUUUUCAACUUUUUCCCAUGCAGCAUCCACUUGUAACCUUGGUCCCAUCUACGACAAACCGCCAUAUAUAUUUUCUUAGAUGACUCAGCAAGCUCGAUCUCAUGACAGUUUUUUAUGCUGUAAAUUCACACCGCCUUGCUGAGACCAACCUUGUCACCGAAAACAUAUUCUUAUAGUGCUCUGUUGGUCUACUUUCAUCCCACAUUAUUGUACGAAUGUCAUCAAGAUCGCUUGUGAGAGCAUCCACAUUUGGCAUAUUUGACAAGUGAUCAAGGUAGGGAAUCUCCCUCGAAUGAAAAGGCGUGCGACUCAUACACCGUUUGUCUAACGGUGGUGGAGUCUGCAUAUAUGGAGCAUGCUGAGUUGUGACAUCAUGCUCCAUCGUCAAAUCUGGUUACUCAUUCUCACUCUCAUAUGUGAAGUGUGGUUCCUCAUCGUCGCUCUCAUUAGGGAAGGGUGUGUCAUCUCCGGACUCAUUAGCGUUGUUGUGAUAAUCACUGUCAUCUUACUCACUCUGUGCAUAUGCCAUAUCCUAAUUCAAUAUAUCGUUAUCGCCCAACUGGCAACUGAGUUAGGACAAGUCCGUCAUGUUGCUUAUUUUCACUGCAAAACCAAUAAAGUAAUUAAUAUUUCGGAGCCAUCUCAACAUAAUAUAUUAACUUUAACUCUUAAAUGUACCAUUCAUAAUUUGUAGAUAGCCCAUGAUGCACAUUAUCGAGUUGCUGAUGACUCGAGGAUGGACCAGCAUGAUCCACCCUUCCAAAAUUAGGUAUAUUCUAACUAUGAGUUGGUUCAUAACUUGUAAAAUUCAUAUCUGGCUAGUAUCCCCUAUGAAAGAUAUACGAGUUAGUACGAUUAUGAUACAUAAAAGAAAUAGUUAUACUACAACAAGAAAAAUUGCAAUUUACCGCUCGACCUGUGAAUUCUGUAAACUUGGCGACCCUCCAUGCUGCUGCAUUGGGAGAAAUUAUGUCCUCGCUCAUCAUUAACCCAUGGAGAUAAGUUUAGAUCUGGCCAGACUCUUUCAUACGGAACCUGUUCGGAUAAAACAACUCCGAAAACACCACCAGAUGGUUGAGUUUUAGCCAUAUUUUGCGGAACAUCAAUACUGUUGACGUCUUCAGACUUUACGUACAUUUCCAGCAUUCUUAACACAAGAACAUCUUUGUGUUCAUCUGGAGUCCUUAAAAAAUCUUGCAGAGUUUCAUUGUCAUCGAUGUUAAACUCGGCAUAACAAGAAACACCUAGCAGAGUAAGCGAAUAUGGAUAUCUUCCGGUUACCUUAAGAUUAAUUGAAUGUUUAUUCACACUCAUUCUGUUACAAAUCAGAGGUACCAAUUCGUCGUACUUCAAUGUUAGUGGUACCUUAACAAUACUCUGUGGAGAAUAACUAUAUUGUACUUAGUUAUUCUCCACCACAGUCUCAACGCCCCAAUAUAAUGCAACCCUAUUUUUUAGCUCAUCUGACAUUGUAGCAAGAUUCAAAGAGAAAAUGUAUGUAUAUAUUGAUGAAAAUGAAGUGAUAUAUAAAGGAUGCUGAAGAACAAAGGUAAAUUGGUUCAAAUUCACUCAAGAAUGAACGUUUGGCCUUAAGUAAGCAACUAUCCAGUGCUUAGGGACGGCUAUUGUUCAGUAUAGCGCAUGUAAUAUAUGCGCUGCACACAUAGCGCAUAUAUUACAUGCGUUAUACAGUAAUUAUUAUGGCUAUUCAAAUAUUGAGUAUAACGCAUAUAUUACCUGACACAAUAGGCAAAUGAUGACUUCGCAAUGUCUGCAAAGAAGAAUAAAUAAUGUGAAGUAGCUUGUCAGGUGAGAGACUUUAUCUCUAAAUUUCAUUCCUAUGACAUACACGAUUACAUCAACGGGUAUUCUAAAACCUAUAAAUAUGUCUCUGCCCCUCAUUUGUAGAUCAUCUCAUCAAAAUUUGUUCUUUUCUCUUCAGCAAUAAAACCUAUUCUCUGUAUGGUCAUAGAGUAGGCAAAAAUUGCCGAACCACGUAAAUCUUGUCCUGUCUUGUGGAAUUUAUUGAUUUUCUCUUAUAAUUAUUUUUCUUCUAUUAGCCUGACACGCUUCUCUUUGUAUUAGUCUGAACCAUUCAUGAACAUUACAAUGAAAAUGGCUAAAACAUUUACUAAUAUAUAAUUAAGUAUCGGUAUAGGAGCUACCAAGUUGGAGUUAGGUGGAAUGUAGUGUACUGAUUACAAACAAGAAGCAAUACCAAGGAUAUGCUAAUUAAGUUUGAGUUCUUUGACAUGUGGGUUUCCAUGAAAAAAAAGAAGAGUUGUUAGAACCUUAUGGUCAGUGUUAUCAAAGGCGAAAAGCGCAAAAAAGCUCGUUGGUCCUUUGGGGCUUUAAGUGGCGCAUAUAAAGCGUGAGCUUUAAUGAAGAAAGACUCAAAUGGAGAAAAUUAAAAUAAUGUGUGGGUAGUCCAACACUAAUAAUAAUACACAUGAAUAACAAAUAUAUGGACAAAUAAAUUGAAACAAAAUUAUGAUAAUGUGAAAUAUCAAUUGUCUAGUAUCGCCUCUUCAGGAUUCACUCAUUGGCAAGGAAAAGUAUGUCUUAGAGCCUUGAUGACAAUACUGAAGCGCACGCUAAGCAAAGUGAAGCAGAGCGCUCAACAUGUUUUGCCUCGCUUAAGCGUUUUAAGCGCGCACUUGACAACACUGCUUAUGCUGAGAGAAGAUGAGUGUGAUACAUAGCAUCAAGUUAAAACUCAUGUUUGUGUAACAAGUGGUUUUGAAAACAAGAGAGAAAAUGGAGGAAUUGACAUAUCUUGACUACAAGUAAGAGGACAGUGUGUUGCAGUACACUAUAAAAGGGCAGCCCGGUGCACUAAGCUCUCGCUAUGCGCGGGGUCCGGGGAAGGGCACUAUGAAUCACCUUGUUUAUCAUUUCUACGUAAUCACAUUGACAAUUUGAUCUUUUUCUUUUACUUCAACACACUUCUUAGUCGCUGAGUGACAACCCACUUCAGAGGAAACUCUGGGAUAAUUUGCUCCAUCAGGAAUCAAAUGUGAGGCAAUUGUCAAGUUCUAGAGCAGUUUCUUUUUGGACUUAAUUAGAGUGUGUCUUAACAUUAUAGUUUUAUUAAUUGUUGUGUCAAGUACUAAAUCUUCUCUAGCUUUGGCUAACCAAAUUCUCGUAUUUGAUCCUUGAUCUAUGCAUUAACUGAAAAAGGAGGAUAUUGAACCUCUUAGUAAGCUAGUUUUAGAGGAUUAGUUCGGUAAGUUUACGUCCUCAUGGUAUAAUAUGGAGCCGCUCCUACUAGUAAAAGUUACAGAGAGAUAUUUAUGUUUAUGGGAUCCACCCACUGAGGAUUUUAGCUUUGCGACCUUAUGUUCGCCAGGAAAUUAGUUUGUGCGACAGAUUCUAAUAUCGGUGUCUUAGAGUUUUAUUUUCGUAUUUGUCCAUUUAUUCUUUUUGUUAUUAUCAUUACUACCGUUGUUGUUUUUGUUGUCAUUGUUGUUAUUUAGAUUCACCUCAUUAAUGCUAAGAUCAAUUAACUGUUUCUCACGCUGUGCUUUAUGGUGCAGGGAUGCUAGGCAAAUCAUUUGCUUCUCCUUUGCUGACCUUUAACUCCGCAUCAUGCUUCUCCUCUCUUUGUGUGAGUAUAACUUCUGUCUUACAUUUUUCUUUUCUUUUGCAUUUUGGUAGAAACCAUUGAUGAGUUAUGGCUGGGGCUACUAGACUCCAAAUUACUAUAUUAUCUCCUUCGUGUUCUAUUUCUUUCUUUUAUUUCCGUUUUAUUUUAUGUGACGAUGCUUAAUAGAUACAGAGUAUGAGAUGUUACAAUAUCAAUUGACAAGUAGAUGGAGCAAACAUCACACGAAGUCAAUACAACAACAACAAACCCAGUAGUUUCCCGGGGUCUGGGGAGGGUAAGAUGUACGCAACCUUACCACUAUCCCUGGAAGGGCAGAGAAGCUGUUUUCGAUAGACCCUCGGCUAGAGAACGAAGUCAAUAGUUAAUAAAUUUAAAUUUCUCAAAGUUGUAUAGAGUAAUAGUAUUAAUUGAACAACCAAUGGUGUGGUCUAAUGGUAAUAAAGUGGAUGAACAUCAGCGGGUAACCAGUUUCAAAUUCUAGCAAAGACAAAAUGUUUGUGCUGGUUGGAGGUAGCACAUAUCCACUGGAAUAAUUGAGGUGCUCCCAAUGGCCUGGACACCACCGUUACAAAAGAAAAAGUAUGAAUGGAAUGGUGUGAAAUUAUUUGUAACAAUCAAAAUGGAGAAGGCGUCAUAUAAGUUGGAAAAGAGAAUAUUUUUAUUUCAUUUUUAAAUUUAUUGGUUGAUAACUAAUUUUUUCUUUGUUAUUCUCUUGGUACUUGUGUACUUACAGACUUCAUAAAAUUGCAAUGUUACAAAAUCUUCAGCUAGUCUGUGAUGGUGGAAUGCCUAUAUCAUCUAUGAUGUUACAAAAUCUAGGGGAAGGAUGAGCAAUUCUCUGACAUGCUUUUAGGUUUGGAAAAGGGUCAAACAAAGAAGAAUAGAUAUAGGACUUUUAUAUAGUUAACCCCAGCUAGUUUGAAACUGAGAUAUAAUUGAUUGAUGGAUCAAUUGAUGCUUUUAGAUUUGAAAUCUUGGAAAGGCUGCAUACUUUUAAGUUGAAUUUUUUUUUCAUAACCUUGCAUUUUGAAACAAGUGUGUAUCAGAUUCUGCCUAAGCAAGAUCGGUAGAAAGAUGAAGGUUAAUUUAACUCCUGUGAGAUGAUGAUUUUCCGAAGAAUGGUUAUUUGAGGAUAUUGAUAUAGCUGACGCAACUAGUUUGGGAUUGAAAAGUAGUUGUUUUAUUGUUGCUUUUGAUAAUGACAAAAUCAUUCAUUUUUUCCGUGAUGUUCAGUCUUCAAUAUCAGCCCAAUAUACUCUCUGGCGAAAGUAUCUUAUACUAAUACCUUUUUCUUACUUAACAGUGUGAUUCCGGCUCAACAGCAGCAAACAAUCUAGUAGGGUAUGUAAAUUGCUCGAAUAACAUUACAUCAAAUGUCACCAAAGGAUCUUGGACAUCUGGUUAUUAUCUGUCCAAGAAAUGGAAGUUGCAUUCAACAGCUACUGACAAUAUAGUAUUAACUGAAGAAGAGAAGAAAACAUGGAAUGAUAGCAGACAAGCUCUGUCGGCAUUCAAAUUUAGCCCAGAGGAGGAAGACAAAAUCUUAGGAAAAGCAUUUGGCCAGAUACAUUCACCUUACUGGUAUGAAGAACGGAAGAAAGAGGUUCCAAGACUUGAAGUUGUGAAUGAGAUAUUGGAUUAUCUAAGGAGCUUAAGCCUUACCGAUGAUGAUCUCACUAAACUUCUCAAGAAAUUCCCAGAAGUUCUUGGAUGUAGCCUUGAAGAUGAAAUGAAAAACAAUGUGGAAAUCUUGGCGAAACAAUGGGGAAUUGAAGGUAAAACUCUGACAAAAGUGCUGCUUCGAAAUCCAAAAGUUUUAGGCUACAACGUCGAUUGCAAAGGUGAUUGUGUGGCUAAAUGCACUCGCUGUUGGGCUCGGUUCUAACUGUAUUCUUGUUGUUUCAUUCUCAUCCUUUUUUUCUUUAUGUAUAAUAAUGUUUUACAUUUAAUCAUUCUUCAAACCUUGUAGUAUCUAAUUAUACAUGAUGAGGACAAUCGAGUGGUGAUUCAGCGGUAAAGCUGUCAUCCCGCAUCAUAGGGUUCUAAGAUUCGAUUUUCACCAAAUCUUUAUGUUGUCGCAAACUUAAGAUAUUAAAUAUAAUGAGCAGCACCAUCCCCGUUCCCCUGAAAAAGGGAAAAGGAAGAGCUUCUAAUUAAGUGCAGAUGGAUCUUUCUUGGCUACCACGAACAAGUUGUUAAUUAGUGUAAAAAUCUUGUGGUAAAUGGAGGUAGCGAUGGAGAAGAUGAAGGAGAAGAUAAAGGAGAAGAUGAAGGAGAAGAAGAAUAAAAAAAUUAUUUUGUCUAAAUGGGAACUGAAGCCAAGUUUAAGGGGCCGUAUAGAUAUUUGGCCUAUUUUCAUUAUAAUCAUAUAAUAGAUCCUUAAGAAAAACUAGAAACUGCUGUACUUCACUUGAAUGGUAGAGCUGAAUCUUGGUAUUUUUCAUAUCAACUAGGUAGGGGAAUUGUGAGGUGGUCGGAUUUUGUGGAGGAAAUUUGCAAGAGGUUUAAUAAUUCUGAUAAUAGCAAUCUGAAUCUACUUGGAAAGUUCAAAAGGAUUGAAUAGAUAGGUACUGUGAAUGAGUAUCUUGAGAAAUUUGAAGAUCUUAAAGCUUGGGUGUUGAUUAAACACCCAACCAUCCCUGAAGAAUUCUUUUUAGGGUUCUUAUUGAAGGCCUUAAGGAAGAAAUUAGACACAGUUAAAAUGUUGGACCCCUAUUUAUUGAGUCAAGCAGUAGAGAAAGCUAGACAUAAGGAAGAUCUGUUAGAGUCAAUGAACAUAUAGGGAAAGCUAGGAAUUAACAGACAAAGAGUUCAGUAUAACACUAAUCAUAGUGCAUUGAGUGUUAAAAAUUCUGAUUAUGGGAAAAGAGAGGGUAACACUAACAUAACAAUGUCUGUUAACAAACUGUUUGAGGCUAGGAAGGCUAAAGGGGAGUGUUACAAGUGUGGGGAGAGAUAUUUUCCAGGUCAUGUGUGCAAGAAUAGACAAAUAAAUGCCCUAUUAGGUACUGCUGAACAAGAAGAAAUGGUGGAAGGGGCCGGCUUAGAAGAGGUGAUUGAUGAGGCCAUCAGUUUGAAUGCCUUAUCAGGCACUGCUAUUUCCAAUACAAUCAAGUUGAAAGGAAUGUAUGGAAAACAAGGGUUGAUAAUACUAGCUGAUAGUGGGAGUACACAUAGUUUUGUGGCUAGUGACACUGCCAAACAGUUGGGUUGUGUGAUCAGGGAAGCUGCUCCUAUGAGGGUGACUGCUGCCAAUGGUAUUCAUUUGAUGAGCUACCACUACUGCCCUCAAUUCAAAUGGAAGGUCCAGGGAGUGGAAUUUGAAUACAAACUCAGACUGUUGGAUAUUGGAGGUUGUGAUAUAGUACUUGUUGGAGAUUGGAUGAGGAAACAUAAUCCUAUACUAUUUGACUUCAUUGGGUACAUGUUUCAAGUCAGUGUCAAUGGGAAAAGGGCAGAUCUGAAAGGACUUACUGAGGAAGGUAAUCUUCAAGCUAUGACAACUUCUGGAGUGAAAUAACUACUGAAGAAAGUUCAAGUGCUGUAGGCACAUCUAUUUACCUUAUCAGCUUAGGAGUAAGGGAUAACAGAAUCCAUACCUAAGGAGAUCAAGACAGUGUUGAAGGACUUCACAGGGGUCUUUGCAGAGCCAAAAAUACUACCUCCAAGAAGGGAUCAGGAUCACUUCAUUCCUCUCAAACCUGAUGUAACACCAGUCAGUAUCAGGCCUUACAGGUAUAACUAUUUCCAGAAAAAUGAAAUAGAAUAAUAGGUCAAUGAGAUGCUCUCUACUGGCACUAUACAACCCAGUCACUCACCAUUUUCUUCCCCAGUCCUUUUAGUUAAAAUGAAGGACGGAAGUUGGAGGUUUUGCAUUGAUUAUAGAGAGUUGAAUAAGAUGACUAUCAAGGAUCAAUUUUCUAUUCCAUUAGUAGAUGAUUUAAUAGAUGAAUUACAUGGUUCCUGUAUCUAUUCAAAGAUCGAUUUGAGGGCUGGUUAUUAUCAAAUAAGAAUGAGAGAAACUGACAUCUAUAAGAAUUCUUUUAGAUUUCAUCUAGGCCAUUAUGAGUUAAGGGUCAUAUGCCCUUUGGCUUGACCAAUGCACCUGCAACCUUUCAUAGUCUUAUGAAUCACAUUUUAAAACCUUUUUUGAGGAAUUUAUAUUAGUAUUCUUUGAUGAUAUUCUAGUCUAUAGCUCUUCAAUGCAAGUGCAUGCAUUGCAUCUCAGAAAGGUGUUGGAGGUACUAUAUAGGGAGCAACUAUAUGCCAAACUGUCCAAGUGUUCAUUUGGACAGGAUAAGGUUGAGUAUCUAGGCCACAUCAUUUCAGGAAAUGGAGUCUCCGCUGACCCUUCAAAAAUUGAAGCAAUGAUCAACUGGCAUGUUCCUAAUUCUGUGAAGGCAUUAAGGGGGUUUCUAAGGCUUACUGGCUACUAUAGAAGGUUUGUUAAGUCCUAUGGAGUUAUCAGCAGGCCACUGACAAAUCUUCUAAAAACGAACUCCUUUCAGUGGAGUACAAAAGCAGAAGUGGACUUCCAACAGUUGAAGGAAGCUAUGUCAACAGUGCCAGUAUUGGCUCUAGCUGAUUUUACCAAACCUUUCAUUAUUGAAACUGAUGCAUGUGCAACAUUUAUGGGAGUUGUACUCAUGCAGGGAGGCAGGCCUAUAUCCUAUUUCAGCAAGGCCCUAGAUUUGAAACACAAAGGACUCUCUACUUAUGAAAAAGAGUAUCUAGUUGUACUUUCUGCAGUGGACAAAUGGAGACAUUACUUACAAGGGGGACACUUUAUUGUUAAAACAGACCAUAAGAGUCUAAAGUAUCUUCUGGAACAAAAAGUCAGCACAACAUUGCAGCAGAAAGGACUCACUAAACUUCUAGGGUUGGAUUAUGAAGUACAAUACAAAAGGGGUAUAGAGAAUAAGGUUGCAGAUGCUCUUUCAAGGAGACAGGAAGAAGAAUCUACUCUAUUGGCUAUGUCUACAUCUCAGGCCACUUGGUUGCAGGAGGUUUCUCAGAGUUAUGAGAAUGAUCCAAUAGCUCUACAGCUUCUGAGUGAGCUAGUGGUCUAACCUAACAGCAAGGUUGACUAUUCCUUACAUCAAGGAAUCAUCAGAUUCAAACAAAAAAUCUAUGUGGGGCAGAGUAGUGGAUUGAAACAACAUCUAUUGGAAUCCUUGCAUCAGUCACCCUUAGGGGGACACUCAGGCCAAUAAGGAACUUACAGAAGGGUACAAUCAAUGUUCUACUGGCCAAACAUGAAAUCAGAAGUCUUUAAGUGGGUAAGUGAAUGUGAUGUCUGCCAAAGGGUGAAGGCUGAGCAUGCACAUUCCCCUGGGUUGUUACAACCUUUACCUAUUCCCGAACAAGCUUGGCAUAAUAUAUCCUUAGACUUUGUAGAAGGAUUGCCUAUUUCUAGUCAGAAAAAUGUUGUAUUGGUAGUCAUAGAUAGACUAACCAAGUAUGGGCAUUUCUUAGCUAUUAAACACCCAUACUCAGUACAAGAUGUGACAGAAUUGUUCAUGAGAAAGAUCUACAAGUUGCAUGCUCUUCCCAGGACCAUUGUAUCUGACAGGGAUGCCAUUUUCACCAGCCAUUUCUGGCAGUACCUCUUCAAGGCCUUAGGCACUAAGCUCAACAUGAGCUCUGCCUAUCAUCCACAAUCAAAUGGCCAGACUGAGAGGCUUAACAACUGUUUAGAGACUUAUUUUAGAGCUAUGGUGUUUGGUAAUCCAAAACAAUGGCAAAGUGGCCGCACCUUGCAGAGUGGUGGUAUAAUACUAAUUACCACACUUCACUCAAGACUACACCAUUUGAAGCACUAUAUGGGUAUCCUCCGACCUAGUUACCAUUGGGCUCAUUACCUAAUAGUGGUCACAAUCCAGCAGGGGUCAACUUAGCACAGAGACAACACAUGCUUUAGGUUCUAAGAGACAACCUAACUCAAGCCCAGUCCAGAAUGAAAUUCUAUGCAGACAGACUAAGGACAAAAAGAACACUUGCAGUAGGGGACCUAGUCUAUCUAAAGAUACAACCUUAUAGACAAUCCUCAGUUGAUGUUCGCAGAAACAUGAAGCUAAGUGCUCGUUAUUACGUCCAUACAAGAUUAUACAGAAGAUUGGUACAGUGGCUUACUGGCUUGAGCUUCCAGCAGGGUGUCAGCUACACCUUGUCUUCCACGUGUCCCAGUUGAAGAGGCGGAUCGGCCCGGCUGUGACAUCCCAGCUACAACCUCCUAUUUGUGAUGAUGAAGGUCGAGUCUUGAUUCAACCAAUAACCAAUUUACAGCAUAGUAUGGUCAAGGUUGAUAAUGGUGCACACGUGAAGGUGCUGAUUCUGUGGCUAAUUUGGGUAGAGACGAAGCAUCAUGGGAUGAUUGGGGGGGGGGGAGGGGGGGCGUACAUUAAGAGCAGAUUUCUGGAGUUUGUCCCACAACAACGACCU
This 14731-nucleotide long non-coding RNA is filed under the name Nicotiana tabacum (common tobacco). Its description in RNAcentral is "long non-coding RNA (NTAB_LNC018449)". Lineage: Eukaryota; Viridiplantae; Streptophyta; Magnoliopsida; Solanales; Solanaceae. The record is from RNAcentral.